UGCCUAAUACAUGCAAGUCGAGCGGGGUUAGUUAGAAGCUUGCUUCUAACUAACCUAGCGGCGGACGGGUGAGUAACACGUAGGCAACCUGCCCACAAGACAGGGAUAACUACCGGAAACGGUAGCUAAUACCCGAUACAUCCUUUUCCUGCAUGGGAGAAGGAGGAAAGGCGGAGCAAUCUGUCACUUGUGGAUGGGCCUGCGGCGCAUUAGCUAGUUGGUGGGGUAAAGGCCUACCAAGGCGACGAUGCGUAGCCGACCUGAGAGGGUGAUCGGCCACACUGGGACUGAGACACGGCCCAAACUCCUACGGGAGGCAGCAGUAGGGAAUCUUCCGCAAUGGGCGAAAGCCUGACGGAGCAACGCCGCGUGAGUGAUGAAGGUUUUCGGAUCGUAAAGCUCUGUUGCCAGGGAAAAACGUCUUGUAGAGUAACUGCUACAAGAGUGACGGUACCUGAGAAGAAAGCCCCGGCUAACUACGUGCCAGCAGCCGCGGUAAUACGUAGGGGGCAAGCGUUGUCCGGAAUUAUUGGGCGUAAAGCGCGCGCAGGCGGCUCUUUAAUUCUGGUGCUUAAUCCCGAGGUUCUACUUUCCGGUUCCCCCCUGGAUACUGCCCAGCUUGAUGCAAAAAACGAAAGUGUACUAU
RNAcentral lists this ribosomal RNA (646 nucleotides) under Paenibacillus polymyxa. RNAcentral's name for it is "bacterial SSU rRNA". It matches the Rfam family "Bacterial small subunit ribosomal RNA", at positions 45 to 669 of the family's 1533-position model. Lineage: Bacteria; Bacillati; Bacillota; Bacilli; Caryophanales; Paenibacillaceae. The record is from RNAcentral.